RNAcentral lists this ribosomal RNA (463 nucleotides) under uncultured bacterium. RNAcentral describes it as "bacterial SSU rRNA". It matches the Rfam family "Bacterial small subunit ribosomal RNA", at positions 331 to 792 of the family's 1533-position model. The record is from RNAcentral.
CCAGACUCCUACGGGAGGCAGCAGUGAGGAAUAUUGGUCAAUGGCCGAGAGGCUGAACCAGCCAAGUCGCGUGAGGGAUGACGGCCCUACGGGUUGUAAACCUCUUUUGUCGGGGAGCAAAGAGAGUCACGUGUGACUCAUUGAGAGUACCCGAAGAAAAAGCAUCGGCUAACUCCGUGCCAGCAGCCGCGGUAAUACGGAGGAUGCGAGCGUUAUCCGGAUUUAUUGGGUUUAAAGGGUGCGCAGGCGGGGGGGAAGGCCGGCGGUCAAUUUGCGGGGCUCACCCUCGCCGAGCCGUUGAAACUGCUCUUCUAGAGUGGGCGAGAAGUAUGCGGAAUGCGUGGUGUAGCGGUGAAAUGCAUAGAUAUCACGCAGAACUCCGAUUGCGAAGGCAGCAUACCGGCGCCCAACUGACGCUCAUGCACGAAAGCGUGGGUAUCGAACAGGAUUAGAUACCCUUGUA